This 330-nucleotide unclassified non-coding RNA is filed under the name soil metagenome. RNAcentral describes it as "partial contains 5.8S ribosomal RNA, internal transcribed spacer 2, and large subunit ribosomal RNA". The stretch from base 1 to 120 matches the Rfam family "5.8S ribosomal RNA", at positions 35 to 154 of the family's 154-position model. The record is from RNAcentral.
GAUGAAGAACGCAGCGAAAUGCGAUAAGUAAUGUGAAUUGCUGAAUUCAGUGAAUCAUCGAAUCUUUGAACGCACAUUGCGCCCCUUGGUAUUCCGAGGGGCAUGCCUGUUCGAGCGUCAUUUCAACCCUCAAGCACAGCUUGGUCUUGGGCUUCGCCGCUAACCCGGCGGGUCUUAAAAUCAGUGGCGGUGCCGUCGGGCCCUGAGCGCAGUAAUCUCUCUCGCUAUAGGGUCCCGGCGGAUGCUGGCCAGUAACCCCCAAUUUUCUAUGGUUGACCUCGGAUCAGGUAGGGAUACCCGCUGAACUUAAGCAUAUCAAUAAGCGGAGGA